This 414-nucleotide long non-coding RNA is filed under the name Vigna radiata. Its description in RNAcentral is "long non-coding RNA (VRAD_LNC000546)". The record is from RNAcentral. Lineage: Eukaryota; Viridiplantae; Streptophyta; Magnoliopsida; Fabales; Fabaceae.
GGUAUUUCAACCAUUAUCAAAGCCACCAUGGGAUGCGUUUUAGACGCAACGACUUAGGCAUCACGGUGGUUGUGUCGGCCGGCCGGAAACUCGCUAGCCCUAGUGGUGGUUGUGGAUGAUCUACCCGAGGAAGGGAUGCCUUUCUCUAGAUUUGGGCUUGGAAUUUUUUUGUUUCUAUUUUCUUUUGUUUAUUUUUUAUUCUAAUUAUUUUAUUUAUGAAUUUUGCUUUGGAGGGUUACUCCCUCCACCACCACACAUUGCUCCCUACAACUCCCCAUUUCCAUUUUAUCCUACAGCUAAACAUUUUUUCUCAUGAGGGUUGACGUAAACGCAUUUCUCACCCCCUCACUUUUUUAAAAGCCAAAUUCUUCAGCCUUCGACUCACUUUUUUAAAACUCUAAUUUUGAAAUCUCC